UACAGAGACCUCAAGCGUUAUCCGGAAUCAUUGGGCGUAAAGAGCUCGUAGGCGGCUUGUCGCGUCUGCCGUGAAAGUCCGGGGCUCAACUCCGGAUCUGCGGUGGGUACGGGCAGACUAGAGUGAUGUAGGGGAGACUGGAAUUCCUGGUGUAGCGGUGAAAUGCGCAGAUAUCAGGAGGAACACCGAUGGCGAAGGCAGGUCUCUGGGCAUUAACUGACGCUGAGGAGCGAAAGCAUGGGGAGCGAACAGG
This 253-nucleotide ribosomal RNA is filed under the name uncultured bacterium. RNAcentral's name for it is "partial 16S ribosomal RNA". It matches the Rfam family "Bacterial small subunit ribosomal RNA", at positions 524 to 776 of the family's 1533-position model. The record is from RNAcentral.